Oryza glaberrima (African rice) is the source of this 207-nucleotide non-coding RNA. The record is from Rfam. NCBI's taxonomy places the organism in Eukaryota, Viridiplantae, Streptophyta, Magnoliopsida, Poales, Poaceae.
AAAAAGACAAACCCUUGAUUUCCGUGUCUAACAUUUGACUGUUCGUUUUAUAUGAAACUUUUUUAUAAUUAGUAUUUCCAUUGUUGAUAGAUGAUAAAACAUGAUUAAUACUUUAUGCGUGACUUGUCUUUUUAAUUUUUUUCAUAAUUUUUUUAAAUAAGAUGUAUGGUCAAACGUUGUGCACGGAAACCCAGGAUUUUUCUUUUU